GGCAAACGGGUGAGUAACGCGUAAACAACCCUGCCCUUCGGAUGGGAUAACAGCCGGAAACGGCUGCUAUACCGAAUACGAUCUUUUCGUCGCAUGACGGAAAGAGAAAGGAUGGCCUCUAUACAAAGCUAUCGCCGAAGGAGGGGUUUUGCGUCUGAUUAGCUGGUUGGAGGGUAACGGCCCAACAAGGCGAUGAUCAGUAGCCGGUCUGAGAGGAUGAACGGCCACAUUGGGACUGAGACACGGCCCAGACUCCUACGGGAGGCAGCAGUGGGAAUCUUCCGCAAUGGAUGAAAGUCUGACGGAGCAACGCCGCGUGAGUGAAGAAGGUCUUCGGAUUGUAAAGCUCUGUUAUACGGGACGAAAAGACGGAUGCCAACAGUAUCCGUCCGUGACGGUACCGUAAGAGAAAGCCACGGCUAACUACGUGCCAGCAGCCGCGGUAAAU
RNAcentral lists this ribosomal RNA (448 nucleotides) under uncultured Megasphaera sp. RNAcentral's name for it is "bacterial SSU rRNA". It matches the Rfam family "Bacterial small subunit ribosomal RNA", at positions 97 to 525 of the family's 1533-position model. Lineage: Bacteria; Bacillati; Bacillota; Negativicutes; Veillonellales; Veillonellaceae. The record is from RNAcentral.